Molecule: transfer RNA, 64 nt
Filed under: Neotoxoptera formosana
Lineage: Eukaryota; Metazoa; Arthropoda; Insecta; Hemiptera; Aphididae
Description: tRNA-Glu
Source: RNAcentral
UAUUUAUUAGUUUAAAAUAAAACAUUAUAUUUUCAAUAUAAAAAUAAUUAUUUAUUAUAAAUAU